This 497-nucleotide ribosomal RNA is filed under the name uncultured bacterium. RNAcentral describes it as "partial 16S ribosomal RNA". It matches the Rfam family "Bacterial small subunit ribosomal RNA", at positions 28 to 507 of the family's 1533-position model. The record is from RNAcentral.
GAUGAACGCUGGCGGCGUGCCUAAUACAUGCAAGUCGAGCGAACGGACGAGAAGCUUGCUUCUCUGAUGUUAGCGGCGGACGGGUGAGUAACACGUGGAUAACCUACCUAUAAGACUGGGAUAACUUCGGGAAACCGGAGCUAAUACCGGAUAAUAUUUUGAACCGCAUGGUUCAAAAGUGAAAGACGGUCUUGCUGUCACUUAUAGAUGGAUCCGCGCUGCAUUAGCUAGUUGGUAAGGUAACGGCUUACCAAGGCAACGAUGCAUAGCCGACCUGAGAGGGUGAUCGGCCACACUGGAACUGAGACACGGUCCAGACGCCUACGGGAGGCAGCAGUAGGGAUUCUUACGCAAUGGGCGAAAGCCUGACGGAGCAACGCCGCGUGAGUGAUGAAGGUCUUCGGAUCGUAAAACUCUGUUAUUAGGGAAGAACAUAUGUGUAAGUAACUGUGCACAUCUUGACGGUACCUAAUCAGAAAGCCACGGCUAACUACGUG